This 316-nucleotide small nuclear RNA is filed under the name Microtus ochrogaster (prairie vole). Its description in RNAcentral is "7SK RNA (ENSMOCG00000005780.1)". It matches the Rfam family "7SK RNA". Rfam says of the family: 7SK was discovered as an abundant small nuclear RNA in the mid-70s but a possible function has only recently been suggested. Two independent studies have found that 7SK RNA binds the CDK9/cyclin T complex (known as elongation factor P-TEFb). Lineage: Eukaryota; Metazoa; Chordata; Mammalia; Rodentia; Cricetidae. The record is from RNAcentral.
GGAUGUGGGAGUGAUCUGGCCUUGCCAGCUGUCACUCUGCUGACUGCAGGGCUGAUUGGGCUAAUCUGGCCGGCCAGGCUGGUGUCCCCAUCCUCCUUCACCACUCCGUCUAUGUGUGUCCCUCCCAAACCUGCUCUCUUGGUUGGACCUUCCCCAAUAGAGGAGGGACAAAGAUGUUCAGGUAGCUUUCCCCUGAUAUUAGAACUUCCAAAUAAACUCUCAACACGCAAAAUAAUUAAAUAAAGUCAUUUUGCUUAUUUAAAAAAAAAAAGUCAAGGAACCAGAGAUACGGUUCAACAGGUGAAAGCCAUUAUCA